GACGAACGCUGGCGGCGUGCUUAACACAUGCAAGUCGAACGGAAAGGCCCUGCUUUUGUGGGGUGCUCGAGUGGCGAACGGGUGAGUAACACGUGAGUAACCUGCCCUUGACUUUGGGAUAACUUCAGGAAACUGGGGCUAAUACCGGAUAGGAGCUCCUGCUGCAUGGUGGGGGUUGGAAAGUUUCGGCGGUUGGGGAUGGACUGGCGGCUUAUCAGCUUGUUGGUGGGGUAGUGGCUUACCAAGGCUUUGACGGGUAGCCGGCCUGAGAGGGUGACCGGCCACGUGGGGCCUGAGAUACGGCCCAGACUCCUACGGGAGGCAGCAGUGGGGAAUAUUGCACAAUGGGCGGAGGCCUGAUGCAGCAACGCCGCGUGCGGGAUGACGGCCUUCGGGUUGUAAACCGCUUUCGCCUGUGACGAAGCGUGAGUGACGGUAAUGGGUAAAGAAGCACCGGCUAACUACGUG
Molecule: ribosomal RNA, 468 nt
Filed under: uncultured bacterium
Lineage: Bacteria
Description: partial 16S ribosomal RNA
Rfam family: Bacterial small subunit ribosomal RNA
Source: RNAcentral